AUUGAACGCUGGCGGCAUGCCUUACACAUGCAAGUCGAACGGCAGCAUAGGAGCUUGCUCCUGAUGGCGAGUGGCGAACGGGUGAGUAAUAUAUCGGAACGUGCCCUAGAGUGGGGGAUAACUAGUCGAAAGACUAGCUAAUACCGCAUACGAUCUACGGAUGAAAGUGGGGGAUCGCAAGACCUCAUGCUCCUGGAGCGGCCGAUAUCUGAUUAGCUAGUGUGGGUAAAGCCUACCAAGGCAACGAUCAGUAGCUGGUCUGAGAGGACGACCAGCCACACUGGGACUGAGACACGGCCCAGACUCCUACGGGAGGCAGCAGUGGGGAAUUUUGGACAAUGGGGGCAACCCUGAUCCAGCAAUGCCGCGUGAGUGAAGAAGGCCUUCGGUUGUAAAGCUCUUUUGUUCAGGGAAGAAACGGUAGUAGCGAAUAACUAUUACUAAUGAC
Molecule: ribosomal RNA, 448 nt
Filed under: uncultured bacterium
Lineage: Bacteria
Description: bacterial SSU rRNA
Rfam family: Bacterial small subunit ribosomal RNA
Source: RNAcentral